GGAAGACCUACUGGUAGUGCUACAGCAAAAGGGAAAGUGGGGAUCAACAUUCCACGUACAGUUAAACGCAAGGUCACAAGUAGUCGUGCUAAGAUUCAUGAAAAUGAAUCUGAUGAAAGUGCUACUUCAUGUGAGCAUCUUCGUAAUGACGAGGGUGAAGCGGCUGUUGGGAGCUAUGAAACUACUGCAGUACGUAGCUCAGGAGUUCAGAAUGAGGAUGUACAGGAUCUGGAAUUGUCAGAAGAUGGUAAAACACUUCCACCAGGGACUGCUGAAUGCAGUGUGAUCAA
This 290-nucleotide unclassified non-coding RNA is filed under the name Hevea brasiliensis (rubber tree). Lineage: Eukaryota; Viridiplantae; Streptophyta; Magnoliopsida; Malpighiales; Euphorbiaceae. The record is from RNAcentral.